GUGCUUUCACCGGUGAAGUCAGGUCCUCAUACAUUUUCUGUUUUAAUUUUUGUCAGUUUUCACAAAUCAGUUUAUUUGUUCUCGUUGGUUUGCUGGUGGAUCCAGAGUAAAUGCACUCUGAGUUAGGAAUUUUUCUUUUUCUUUCUUAAAAAAGAACAGGAAGUAGAAUUUUAACUAUUAAUGUGUGCAGUGAGGCACGACUUAGUUUAAAAAGACGCAACUUAAAUUACUCAAACCAAUCCAACAACUCAAGUUGAUUUUGAAGGGAAUUAAUUAAUUCAGUUUUUUCAUGUCUUAUAUGCCUUUGGAUUCUAUUUCUUAUUUGUUAAUGUUCAGUUCUUUUGUUUGGCGCUCUGAACCGUU
Molecule: unclassified non-coding RNA, 363 nt
Filed under: Hevea brasiliensis (rubber tree)
Lineage: Eukaryota; Viridiplantae; Streptophyta; Magnoliopsida; Malpighiales; Euphorbiaceae
Source: RNAcentral